Lepidothrix coronata (blue-crowned manakin) is the source of this 3429-nucleotide RNA transcript. It is a transcript of the gene named KH RNA binding domain containing, signal transduction associated 2, with no coding region annotated. NCBI's taxonomy places the organism in Eukaryota, Metazoa, Chordata, Aves, Passeriformes, Pipridae. The transcript has 21 exons. The record is from RefSeq and is a predicted model, not a curated record.
UUGAGGUGUAAAGAAGGCAGACAUGCUAGAAAAAAGCAACAGCUGUUUUGCAGAUGGUUCCUUCUAAGCAGGGUGAAGGACUAUGCUGAUUUGCUGCAGCUAUGAAGCUGGCUCCCUGACUCUGCUGUUUCCAGCUAAAACUGAUUUUUCUCCAGUUCUGCUGAAAGCCCCAAACUUAAGUGACUUGCUGUGUCUUCUGUUGAUGUUUGCAAGGUUUUCACAGCACUUUUUAUACUGAUCCCCGUGGCAUACAGUCAUUAGAGCUGCUAUCAGACAAGUUAAUCUUUUCCACGGAAUGCAAUAUACCGCUAUUUUCCAGAAAUGGAAAAAUUUCAGGGUUCUGAAGGCAAGAAGGAAGAUGAAGAAAAGAAAUAUCUUGAUGUUAUCAGCAACAAAAACAUAAAGCUGUCAGAGAGAGUUCUGAUCCCUGUCAAACAAUAUCCAAAGUUCAAUUUUGUUGGGAAAUUGCUUGGACCAAGAGGAAACUCUUUAAAGAGGUUACAAGAAGAAACAGGUGCAAAAAUGUCCAUCCUGGGAAAAGGAUCCAUGAGGGAUAAAGCUAAGGAGGAAGAACUAAGGAAAAGUGGAGAAGCCAAAUACGCGCACUUGAGUGAUGAGCUCCACGUAUUAAUUGAAGUUUUUGCUCCGCCUGGGGAGGCGUAUUCUCGUAUGAGUCAUGCCUUGGAAGAAAUAAAAAAAUUCCUGGUUCCUGAUUAUAAUGAUGAAAUUCGCCAGGAGCAGCUGAGAGAACUGUCAUAUUUGAAUGGUUCUGAGGACUCAUCACGUGGACGGGGCAUUCGAGGAAGAGGGAUCCGUGUGCCACCUGCAGCUCCUUCAAGGGGUCGUGGGGGUGCAAUUCCUCCACCCCUGCCUGGACGAGGUGCCCAAGCACCCAGAGGAGCGCCAGUGACCCGUGGAGCCCUCCCUGUGCCACCAGUGGCAAGGGGCGUUCCCACCCCUCGAGCCAGGGGCGCCCCGUCUGUCCCGGGUUACAGACCACCCCCGCCACCUGCACACGAGGCCUACGAGGACUAUGGAUACGAUGAUGGGUAUGGGGGUGAAUAUGAUGAUCCAAGCUAUGAGGCAUAUGAUAACAGUUAUGCUACCCAAACACAAAGUGUGCCUGAAUAUUAUGACUACGGUCAUGGAACAAGUGAAGAGGCUUAUGACAGCUACGCACAAGAAGAAUGGGCCUCAACCCGUUCCAGCCUAAAGGCACCACCUCCAAGGUCAGCCAGAGGGGGUUACAGGGAACACCCCUAUGGUAGAUAUUGAAGGUCCUCCUCAUCUGUGACCUCAUCUCAAAGACAAUUAAUAGCCUGUGGUCUCCACAUAAACAGCAACAAGACAAUGCUAAAUAUCACCGCCCUUGAAGGCAGUUUAGAGGGCUGAUAUUCUUUUGAGACUAUCAGACUUGAUGGCUGAUGAUUAUUAAGGAAAUAUGUCGCAGGACUCAAAGGAUGACUAAACGUUAAACAGGGACUCACAGGCACUGGACAGCUAAGCAGCAGAUCUGCUGAGAAGUGGUCAGGAUGCAUUAGCUCAUGAUGGAUGGCUUCCUCACAGAAAAACAAUGAAUACCUUUGUUACAUGCCCUUGCAUUACAGGACCUUCACACUGUGUUACCACCAAGUCAGAGGUCUUACAGAAAAUCUUAGGAUCUGAUUUUCAUCAGAGUUACAAGUGGCAUCACAGGAGUUUUUCCUGACUGUGCAAAGUGCUGUUUAAGGUUAGGUGCAAGCAUUGGGUUUCCCAGGAUUUUUGGAGCCUUAGGGAAGUACUGUACCUUUUGAAUGGUGUUCAGGGAACUGAGAGUGCUCAACAUCAUUUGCAAUAAAUCACUCUGUUCUGAAGGACUGAACCUCAGGUUGGGACUCUCCACAGCCCUGAGUUCUGGACCUCAGGCUACCACUCAGACUUAAAGUGAUCUUCCAGUCUAUCAGCUGAAGUGAACCUCCUUUAUUUUCCUAAAAGCAUCCCUAAAGACUGGGAUAUGUUGCUGUACUCUUACACUAUAGUGAGGAUCUCCAAAAUCAGCAGGAACACCAAUUGCAAGGCAGCCAACCUGAAGUCCCUCAGCCACCUUUCCUUACAUGAACAGAAGGUACAGAGUACUUCAUUAUGUGCAUGAACAGAAAUGCUUAAAUGGAUGAAGCAGCUAUUUACGUCUGAUAGGAGCUAAGUGGGACAUUAAAUUAAUGCCAAACAAACAGCCUGAAACAUCCUGCAAGGGGCUCAGCUGAGGAAAGAACAGUACGCAUUUUGCUCUGUGAUAUUGGACCACAAUACAGAUGUUAGAGAUCAGAGACUAUCAGAUGAAGGAGUAAGCAUGCUAAAUAAUACCCUGGUUUCACCAUAAGUCUUCUUUUGGGGUGCUUCAAACAAAGAUGUGAAAAUUAAACUGGAUUUACAUAAACAUUUUUAGUAAACAGAGAUACCAUUUCAGAAUUAAUAUUGUUCUUUAGAUUCACACAUGUAUAAUACAUUUCAUUGCUGUAGAAAAAAGUAAUGUUACCAUAAUCUGAGUUUUUAAGGAAAAGACUAAAUACUUAAACAAGGUCAUGAACUGCUAGAUGAGAAGAAUAUAUGUGUAUUACAUAGACCAAAGAAACUGCAUCAAUGGGGACAGGGGGAGUGAGAUCAUAAGUCAUUAACUAUGGCUUUAUGCUUCACAGUGGGUUUAAUCUUAUUAACUGCUUUCCAUUCAUUCUGUUAUUUCCAUGGAAUAAGAUUCUAAGUCUGCUCCAGGUUGAAAGUGAAUAUUAUGCAAUCCAGUAAGUUCUGUACCUAUUGUUAGCAUGUACAAGGCACAUCAGUGGUGCCAAUGUUUAUUCUUAACAGUCUGAAGUAAUCACGAAAUUUCACAACUCUGGGCAGUCAUCACUGCUAUAAAAGCAAAGAGAUAUUUCUAAAGUCGUCUAGUGAGUGAAUAAACCAAUGGCUUUUAUCCAGAUUUUGCAGGUCACUAGAUGUUCAAAACAGCAAAGCAAAUUAAAAGAACCCUUUCUCUUUUGCUGUCAUGGUAAUUUUGCAGUUGAGUAUAUGAUGAUGUGCUAAUGUAAAAGCUAUUGAGGAAGAUAUGGAGGGAUCUUCUUCUAACACUGCCUUGAAAGGUAGAAAUAAAUGUUGCAUUUCAAAUCACAGAUCUCCUUGAAAUUUGAUUUCAUUUUAAAAGGCAUCUUAAGCACAAAAUUUUUGUCCCUUGGUAACUUCCAAUCAGAUGAGAGUCCACUUAGAAGUAAAAACAUAAAUUUCUAAUUGUCAGUCCUGUAACCUCAGCCUGAAAAUCAAGUGGCAACUUUUUGAUUUAUGCCUCAUCACUAUUAUUUAUUCUUCUGCAGGCCAGAAUUUUUUUUCCCCCUCCUAUUGCAGAAUAUCAGGUCUUUCCUUGGGAUCUCUUGAGAUGACAGACUAAGCAUGGGCAGCGUC